UACGUAGGGCGCAAGCGUUGUCCGGAAUUAUUGGGCGUAAAGAGCUCGUAGGCGGUGUGUCACGUCGGCCGUGAAAACCUGGGGCUUAACUCUGGGCGUGCGGUCGAUACGGGCAUCACUAGAGUUCGGCAGGGGAGACUGGAAUUCCUGGUGUAGCGGUGAAAUGCGCAGAUAUCAGGAGGAACACCGGUGGCGAAGGCGGUUCUCUGGGCCUGUACUGACGCUGAGGAGCGAAAGCGUGGGGAGCGAACAGG
This 254-nucleotide ribosomal RNA is filed under the name uncultured bacterium. Its description in RNAcentral is "partial 16S ribosomal RNA". It matches the Rfam family "Bacterial small subunit ribosomal RNA", at positions 524 to 776 of the family's 1533-position model. The record is from RNAcentral.